RNAcentral lists this ribosomal RNA (468 nucleotides) under uncultured bacterium. RNAcentral's name for it is "partial 16S ribosomal RNA". It matches the Rfam family "Bacterial small subunit ribosomal RNA", at positions 28 to 507 of the family's 1533-position model. The record is from RNAcentral.
GACGAACGCUGGCGGCGUGCUUAACACAUGCAAGUCGAACGGAAAGGCCCUGCUUUUGUGGGGUGCUCGAGUGGCGAACGGGUGAGUAACACGUGAGUAACCUGCCCUUGACUUUGGGAUAACUUCAGGAAACUGGGGCUAAUACCUGAUAGGAGCUCCUGCUGCAUGGUGGGGGUUGGAAAGUUUCGGCGGUUGGGGAUGGACUCGCGGCUUAUCAGCUUGUUGGUUGGGUAGUUGCUUACCAAGGCUUUGACGGGUAGCCGGCCUGAGAGGGUGACCGGACAAAUUGGGACUGAGAUACGGACAAGACUACUACGGGAGGCAGCAGUGGGGAAUAUUGCACAAUGGGCGGAAGCCUGAUGCAGAAACGCAGCGUGCGGGAUGACGGCCUUCGGGUUGUAAACAGAUUUCGCCUGUGACGAAGCGUGAGUGACGGUAAUGGGUAAAGAAGCACCGGCUAACUACGUG